Molecule: ribosomal RNA, 406 nt
Filed under: uncultured bacterium
Lineage: Bacteria
Description: partial 16S ribosomal RNA
Rfam family: Bacterial small subunit ribosomal RNA
Source: RNAcentral
AUUGAACGCUGGCGGCAGGCCUAACACAUGCAAGUCGAACGAGUGGCGGACGGGUGAGGAAUGUCUGGGAAACUGCCCGAUGGAGGGGGAUAACUACUGGAAACGGUAGCUAAUACCGCAUACCAUCGGAUGUACCCAGAUGGGUGUAGCUAGUAGGUGGGGUAACGGCGCACCUAGGCGACGAUCCCUAGCUGGUCUGAGAGGAUGACCAGCCACACGUGAACUGAGACACGGUCCAGACUCCUACGGGAGGCAGAAGUGGGGAAUAUUGCACAAUGGGCGCAAGCCUGAUGCAGCCAUGCCGCGUGUGUGAAGAAGGCCUUCGGGUUGUAAAGCACUUUCAGCGGGGAGGCGUUACCCGCAGAAGAAGCACCGGCUAACUCCGUGCCAGCAGCCGCGGUAAUAC